UACGGAGGGGGCCAGCGUUGUUCGGAAUCAUUGGGCGUAAAGGGCGCGUAGGCGGCCGAGCAAGUCGGAUGUGAAAUCCCCCGGCUCAACUGGGGAACUGCAUCCGAAACUGCUUGGCUUGAGUCCUGGAGAGGGUAGUGGAAUUCCCAGUGUAGCGGUGAAAUGCGUAGAUACUGGGAGGAACACCGGUGGCGAAGGCGGCUACCUGGACAGGUACUGACGCUGAUGCGCGAAAGCUAGGGGAGCAAACAGG
RNAcentral lists this ribosomal RNA (253 nucleotides) under uncultured prokaryote. Its description in RNAcentral is "partial 16S ribosomal RNA". It matches the Rfam family "Bacterial small subunit ribosomal RNA", at positions 524 to 776 of the family's 1533-position model. The record is from RNAcentral.